RNA transcript from Acanthochromis polyacanthus (spiny chromis), 7420 nucleotides. It is a transcript of the gene named nucleoporin 98 and 96 precursor, with no coding region annotated. The record is from RefSeq and is a predicted model, not a curated record. The transcript is spliced from 36 exons. Lineage: Eukaryota; Metazoa; Chordata; Actinopteri; Pomacentridae.
GACGAUGAAAGUGCGUGGUGACGGUUGCUGGUGGACAGUUUUCCCUCCUCGCGGAUGAAGCUAAGCUGAUGUUCAGGCAAACUCACUUCCUUCGCUGAACAUUUUGGACUCUGUGGCUUCACCACUGCUGGAGGACGGCGAACAGAGAGACCGGACACCGCUAACGAAGACUUAUGCGGUCCUGCUAGCAGGCCAACAUGUUCAACAAGUCGUUUGGUACUCCCUUUGGUGGAGGGACGGGAGGGUUUGGAACCUCAUCAACCUUUGGUCAGCAAAACACAGGCUUUGGGACACCGGGAGGCUUUGGGACGUCUGCAUUCGGGACGACCACCAACACCGGAGGACUGUUUGGUUCCACACAGAAUAAACCAGGUGGUCUUUUCGGCUCCAGUACCUUCAGCCAACCAGCGACUUCCUCCACCAGCACCGGCUUCGGUUUUGGUGCAGCCAGCGGCACGUCCACCAGCCUGUUUGGCAACACUGGAACGGGCACCAGCGGCGGACUUUUCUCCCAGCAGAACAAUGCCUUCGGUGCCAACAAACCCACCUCUUUUGGAAGCUUUGGGACGAGCACCAGCAGCGGUGGCCUGUUCGGGUCCACCAACACCACCUCCAACCCUUUCGGUGGAACCAACUCGUUGUUCGGAGGCUCCGGGUUUUCUGCCGCACAGCAGCCAGGAACCACCGUGAAAUUCAACCCCCCAACUGGAAGUGACACGAUGGUAAAAGCAGGAGUGACCACGAGCAUCAACACGAAGCACCAGUGCAUCACCGCCAUGAAGGAGUACGAGAACAAGUCCUUGGAGGAGUUGAGGCUGGAGGACUACCAGGCGGGCAGGAAAGGUCCGACCAACCCGAUGGCUCCAGGGACCGGCGGCCUGUUUGGUCCGGCCACCGCCACAUCCAGCGCCACCACCGGCCUGUUCGGCUCCGCGGCCCCCAACACCAGCUUCUCUUUCGGCCAGAACAAGAGCACCUUUGGAGGCGCAGCCACCGGCGGCUUCGGUACGACCACAGGAGGUCUGUUCGGCGGUCAGACGCAGCAGCAAGCCAGCAGCCUCUUCAAGCCGUUCGGUCAGACCACCACCGCCGCUCAGAGCACCGGCUUCUCCUUCGGCAACACCAACACCAUGGGACAGGCCAACACCAGCAGCAUGGGUUUGUUUGGGAACACGGCAGCGUCUCAGUCCAGCGGCCUGUUCGGCACGGCUCAGACCAGCACCGCCACCGGUUUUGGGACGGCCACCGGGCUGUUCGGUCAAACCAACACUGGGUUUGGAAACGUGGGCACGCAGCAGAGUCUGUUCGGGACUAAGACGGCCGGGUUCGGCACCACCACCACCAGUGCUCCGUCCUUUGGCACCGGGCUGUUUGGAAACAAGCCGGCUCUCACACUGGGAACCGGAACCAACACCUCCACCUUCGGUUUUGGGGCGACCCCUCCUGGAGGGAAUCUGUUUGGGAACAAGUCGACCACCGGGGGACUGGGGACCGGACUGGGAACCAGCUUUGGAACAGCAGUGGGCACAGGACAGACUCUGUUUGCGAACAACCAGAACAAACUGGGCACCACACUGGGAACGAUGGGAACGUUCGGAACGACGGGAUUCAACAGCGGAACGAGCACGCUGGGCUUCGGAGCGCCACAGCAGCCCGUCGCCCUCACAGAUCCAAACGCUGCUGCCGCCCAGCAGGCCAUGCUUCAGCAGCAGCUCAGCGUUCUGGCCUACUCACCGUACGGAGACUCGCCUCUGUUCAGAAACCCGCUGUCAGACCCCAAGAAGAAGGAGGAGCGUCUGAAACCAACCAAUCCGACGGCUCAGAAGGCCCUGACCACGCCCACCCACUACAAGCUGACGCCCCGUCCUGCGACCAGAGUCCGGCCCAAAGCGCUGACGUCUUCGGGCGGCUCCAAGUCGCAGCUGUUCGACGGCCUGGAUGACGAUGAGCCGUCGCUCACCAACGGAGCCUUCAUCCCGAGGAAGAGCAUAAAGAAGCUGGUGCUGAAGAACCUGAACAGCAGUCAGUACAACAGUCCGAUUAACAAAGAGAGCGACGACCUGGCCUCGCCCCCAGAGUAUCCACAGAACGGACACAGCCAUGUGGAGGAGGAGGAGGAGCUGAGGGAGGCUCCGGGACCCAGCAGCCGGCCAGACGACGACCCGGAGGUCACCCACUUCUACGUGAACCCCAUCGCCAAGCCGAUCCCUCAGGGCCGAGCCCAGACCAGCCUGCAGGACACCAUCAGCGACCUGAACAUGCACAAACCGUCCAGGAACGGCCUGGAGCUGAGCAGCGAUGACGUGUCGGCGUCUCUGGGAGAAGAAUCUCUGCAGGAGGAGAGGGAGGAGGAGCAGCCGGAGUCCCAGCAGUCUCCUCAUCCUGCAGGCAUCGUUCUGAACCGUGUGGGUUAUUACACAAUCCCCUCCAUGGACGACCUCGCUGAGAUGGUGGACGAGAACGGAGAGUGUGUCGUAGAAAACUUCACCAUCGGCAGGAAAGGUUACGGCUCCAUCUUCUUCCCUGGCGAGGUGAACGUGACGGGACUGAACCUCGACGAGAUUGUCCACUUCAGACGUAAAGAGGUGAUCGUGUACCCAGAUGACAAGAACAAGCCUCCAGAGGGGGAGGGGCUUAACAGGCGAGCAGAGGUGACUCUGGACGGCGUCUGGCCCAACGACAAGACGACCUGCACUCAGAUCAGGAGCCCUGAACGCCUCACCGACAUGAACUACGAGGGCCGGCUGGAGAAGGCCUCGCGCAAACAGGGAGCCCGUUUCCUCGAGUACCGGCCCGAGACCGGCUCCUGGGUGUUCGAGGUGGCCCAUUUCUCCAAAUAUGGCCUCCAGGACUCGGAUGAAGACGAGGACGUGCCGCCUAAAGCCGACCCCAAGAAGCUGAAGACGACGAUGACUCUUCCUCCCUCCAGGCUGCAGCAGCAGAUUCCCCCCUCCCAGCAGCAGGUGGCGCCACAGGCUCAGUCCACGGUCGUCGUGGAUCUUCCGGGCGGCGUCUCGGAGCUGGACAGCGACAUGGCCGACAUCACCCAGAGCUUUCCGACAGACGGCAUGCUGGGAGGAGAGGAGGAUGGCGACCUGCCAGCGAGUGAAAUGGACACGACGGCCAGGAAGCUCGGAGGAUUCACGUCUGCAGAGCAUGACGGCGUCUCCACGUCCGGACACAUCGCGUCUUCGUUUGGCAUCAAUCCGCACACGCUCCAGAUCAUGAAGGCGUCUCUGUUCGCUGAGGAUGAGGAUGACAGCGACAUGUUCCAGGAUCAGGCAGCGAUGAAGGUUUCCGCUGAUGUCUCGUCUCCCCGCCUCGUCCUGCCGGGAGCUCACGGCCGACCCUCUGUCGGCGGUCUCCUUCAGGCUCGUUUCACCUCCGGCCUCCUCUCUCAGCUCUCGGACUCUCCCUGCCCUCCUCUGCCGUUGUCUCGGGCGUCUCCGUCAGUGAUCGAACCCGCCCGCUCGCUGCAGUGGGCGGGGCCUGGACCUUCCUCCUUCCUGGUUCCUCCCAGGACUCCGGAGCCUUCGAUCAGGACGGUCGGCGUCCGGCGGCUGGGUGGCCCCGUCCCCAUGAAGGAGUCGGUCACUCAGGGGAAGGGAGCUUUGCUGAUGGACACUGGGCUGUUUGCGGUCCGUUCCUUCCGGGUCGGGUGGGGUCCUGGCUGGACGCUGGCUCACUGCGGCAGCCGGCUGAGUUCACCAACAUCCAAACAGCUGGAGUACCAAGACCUGGCAUCCAAGACCGACUUCAGCUUCCUGCCUAAACCUGCCAGGAGCAAACCACUGACAGAAAGCCCCUAUAAGGUGGUGGUGGAGCAGCUGGUGGGUCUGGAGCCUCCACAGGGGAAGACCGGCGAGGAGGAGGAGGAUGAAGAGAGCCAGGCGGUGCUGCAGCGCCCCCUGGAGAUCUGCCUGAAGCACAGCACCAUCAGCACCCCUGAUGCCUCCGCCUGCCCGCUGGUGCGACCGCAGCUUGGCGUGGCGGCGCUGCACGAGUAUGCCGAGUGGAUCACCGAGCUGAACGACAAGCAGGGAGACGCAGACCCCCUCCUGGGUCACUGGGCCGAGGUCUGGACCCUGUGUGAGGCUCUGUGGGGCCGGCUGGGCCCCUCGGAUCAGGAGCCCGACGUCGAGGCGCCCAGCGACUACGAGCAGCAGCUGGAGAGGCGGCGGACCUUCUCUGCCUGGCUGUCCCACGGCGCCACCUGCAGGGUGGAGGAGGAGGUGGCUCUGGUGGGGAAGGGGCGCCACACGGAGGCCAUGUUCAGCUACCUGACAGGAAACCGCAUCAGCGAGGCGUGUCGACUCGCUCAGAAGGAAGGAGACCACCGUCUAUCCCUGCUGCUGUCCCAGGCCAUGGGCUCUCAGUACUGCCGGGACCUCCUGGCCCUCCAGCUGGCCGACUGGAACCGCAUGCAGACCGACUGCUACCUGCCAGAAGAACGACUUCGCAUCUUCACGCUGCUCGCUGGCAAACCUGUGUGGCAGUCGUCUGAGUCGGUGGUGAACGUUUGCUCUGAGUUGGACUGGAAGCGCUGCGUGGCCGUCCACCUCUGGUUCAUGCUGCCUCCCACCGCCUCUGUGGCCGACGCCCUCGCCAGAUACGAAGCCGCCUUUCAGGGCUCCUGUGAGAGCGGAAAAUACGCCUGCGCCCCUCUACCGCCCUACUUAGAGGCAGAUCAGCCAGAUUCAGAGGAGGAGGAGGAGUCCAAACGGCCGCUGUACGACAUCUGCUUCCACCUGCUCAAACUCUACAGCGACAGACAUUACAGCCUGCAGCAGCUGUUGGAUCCUCUCACCGUCACCUGGGAGCGUCUGGACUACCGCCUCAGCUGGCACCUGUGGGGCGUCCUGCAGGCGCUGCACUACGGACACCUGAGCUCCUCUCGGCAGGGACUCCUCCACACCAGCUACGCCGCCCAGCUGGAGAGCGCCGGCCUCUGGCACAUGGCCGUCUUCAUCCUGCUGCACAUCCCCGACCACAGCCAGCGGGAGCGAGCCGUGAGGGAGAUGCUGACCCUCCACUGCCCCCUGCAGGAGACGGACGAGUCGGUCCGCAGAGAGCGCUUCCUGACCGAGAGGCUGCUGGUCCCGGAGCGCUGGAUCCACGAGGCCAAGGCCACCCGGGCCCGACGCGACGCCGACCGGCACCAGCAGGCGCUGCACCUGUACCGGGCCGGAUACUGGAACCAGUGCCAUCGCCUGCUCAUCCAGCACCUGGCCUCAGACUGCAUCAUCAACGACAACCACGACUACCUGCUGGAGUUCCUGGAGGGUCUGGCGGUCCCUGAACACAGCGCCACCAUCCAGGACUGGGACACUGCAGGGAGGGUUUACCUGGACUACAUCAGGGUCAUCAAGACUCUGCAGGACAUCCAGCAGAUGGAGAGCGCCGGCUACGAGCUGGAGCGUCUCUACACCGACGUGACGUCUCUCUGCAGCAGAAUCGAGCUGCUGCCCUGCAGCACCGCCAGAGACCGGCUCGCCCAAUCAGAAAUGGCGAAGCGUGUGGCGAACAUCCUCCGUGUGGUUCUGAGCCUCCAGCAGGGCGACGCUUCGUCCGACUCGCUCGGCGUCCCGCUGGCUCAGCUGGCGCCACACAUCAGCCGCCUGCCGAUGCCGGAGGACUACACCCUGGAGGAGCUGCGAGGCCUCACCCAGUCCUACCUGAGGCAGCUCAUCGUCAGCCAAUGACAGCGCAGAGCAGGAAGUGAUGUCACACCGGUGCAAACGGGAAGACGGUCUUAGCCGCUCGAACGUCAUGAAACCACGACGCAGAGUUCAAGGAAAAGAGCGUCUAAACAGAAAGUUUAGUUCAGUUUUAGACGCCGUCAACAGGAAGUGACUGGAUUUCAAAUUAAGGUUCUAGUGAGGGAUCAGCUGAGGCACCUCACAGUUUGAUGCUGCUGUAGAUCAGUGGUUCUCAUUGGAGAACAGAGUCCAGCAGAAAACAAACAGGUGGUGAAAUGUCUCAUUUUAUCCAAACAACCAUUAAAGACAAAGUAAAUCUUCUAUUUUUCUUGAGUUCCUCCAAAUAUUAUUUAAGUCAAACAACCAAAAAGAAACACUCCUGUGUAGAACUCGUGGCUGCUGGUUUCCUCCCAUUUCUGAUUGAAAAUCAUCCUGAAAGCAUGAAGACUGUUGAUUUAGAGCAGGAAGUUUGGAAACAUUCAGCACAAAAAGGCCUCAGAGGUCAUUAUCAAAGUCUUCAUUGAUUUAGAAACGUGUCUGAAAACAUCACAUCUGGAAUCAUAAUCUCUAAGUAGGAUGGAAGAAUCAACGUCAGGUUUGUUUUCUUUGGUUUGCUGCUGUUUUAGUGAUGUUCGUUGGAAUUAUUGUGAAAUGAAGCCAAGAAACCGUCAGAGGAAGGAGAUCUAAGCAUCAGUCUGAAAAUCCUGUUUUUGUUAAGCUUUUGUUGAAUUGAUUUCAUUUAGAUUUGUCGAUAAUUACAGCAGCACUAAACUGAACAGCAACACAUUUAAAACCACCUAACUGACUGUAAAUGUUCUUCAUGUCGCUGAUUUUCAUUCUGUGCAGAAACCAAAGUAAAACCUCCAGAACGCUGUGAGGCCUCCGGGUUAACAGAAAACAAACUGAAACAUGAAACUGCAGCUUGGAUUUAAACCACAUUUACUCUCAUUUCCAGGUUUAUUAUUUGGAAGUUCUCGUCGAUAACAGGAGCGCGUUUUUUUUUUCUCCUCUGCCUGUUUGAAAAGUGUCGUCAUAUCUUCAGAAUAAAAGUACCAGAUGUACUCGUUCGACUCUAAACAAAGAGCUGCGUUCUUGAUCACCGCCACUGACUCGGUUUCAUUCCAAGUGAAUAAAAGCGUCCGUUAGCUUAGCAACGGUAGCUCCUGUUCAUCUGUCCAUAUGUGAAUAGAGACGACCUGUAAGGUUAAAGAAGAAGAAGCGGUGAUGGUUCCUCAACAUGCAAAGUGUAAAAUGGUCUAUUUUUGUAGAUUUCCUGUUUUUUGUUUGGUCUGAAUGUGAACCAGAAGUGAGCAGCAGCAGUUUGGUCGUCAGGUUUUCUAAAGUGAAGAGUUUCCUUCCAAAACGAGCUGCCAGCCGGAGAUUUCACUGCAUGUAAUUAUAUAAAUAUUGUAUAUUUUUGGAACUCAAACGGGGAACGUCAGGUCAUUUUUAUCCUCUACCUUUAAUUAGCAGCAAAUUGGAUGCAAAGUCUUUUGAAAUGAAACCCUUCACUUAUCCAUGGUUUGGUUUUGUUGUAGAUUAAGUGUCGGCUUGCCAAGAAUGUGCUUUUGUUGUUUUUUCUUUUCAUUUUCACGGUUUCUCUAUAUGAUGUCAAACAGUGUGUGUGUCGUUCACAUGGAUGGAUUCUGUUUUGUGUGUGUGUGGCUGCGUGCAUGUCAGGAUUCUGUUGGUAUUUUUUAAUAAAGGCAAGUAGAAAUAAA